AUGCCCCCGGCCGCUCCAGCGGCGACUGCUCCGGCCGCGACGCAGCCCUUCCGUCGGCUCUCUCAGGCCAAGCAGCUCAAGCGACGUCGCCAGGGGCUUUGCUAUAACUGCGAUGAGCCCUACGUGUCGGGCCAUGUCUGCUCGCGCCUCUUCUACUUGGAGACGGCCGACUAUGUCGAGGAGGACACACCCACCGACGGGCUCGGCGAGUUGCCGCCACCAGUUGCUGCAGAGGCCGCCCCCACGCCCGCUCCAGCGACGGCGCUCGUGGUCUCGCUCCAUGCGCUUGCCGGCAUCCGCGAUGAGCGAACUAUGCUUUUGCCGGUGACGAUUCACGGCGAGCGCCUGGUGGCCCUCCUGGAUACGGGCUCCACGCAUAACUUCCUGCCCGAGGCUACCAUGCGCCGCUUAGCACUUUAG
This 420-nucleotide ribosomal RNA is filed under the name Triticum aestivum (bread wheat). RNAcentral's name for it is "partial small subunit ribosomal RNA". The record is from RNAcentral. Lineage: Eukaryota; Viridiplantae; Streptophyta; Magnoliopsida; Poales; Poaceae.